RNAcentral lists this ribosomal RNA (340 nucleotides) under uncultured bacterium. RNAcentral describes it as "bacterial SSU rRNA". It matches the Rfam family "Bacterial small subunit ribosomal RNA", at positions 28 to 334 of the family's 1533-position model. The record is from RNAcentral.
GAUAAACGCUCGGCGGCGCACAUAAGACAUGCAAGUCGAACGGAAGUCGUUAUAAAAGGAUUGAAGAUUUAUCUGAUUGAUAUUUUAUAACAAUGGCUUUAGUGGCGGACUGGUGAGUAACGCGUAAGCAAUCUACCUAUUAGAGGGGGAUAACAGUUAGAAAUGACUGCUAAUACCGCAUAAGCGCACAGUGCCGCAUGGCAGUGUGUGAAAAACUCCGGUGGUGUGAGAUGGAUCCGCGUCUGAUUAGCCAGUUGGCGGGGUAACGGCCCACCAAAGCGACGAUCAGUAGCCGACCUGAGAGGGUGACCGGCCACAUUGGGACUGAGACACGGCCCAA